GAUGAAGAACGUAGCGAAAUGCGAUAAGUAAUGUGAAUUGCAGAAUUCAGUGAAUCAUCGAAUCUUUGAACGCAUCUUGCGCCCCUUGGUAUUCCAUGGGGCAUGCCUGUUCGAGCGUCAUCUACACCCUCAAGCUCUGCUUGGUGUUGGGCGUCUGUCCCGCCCCCGCGCGUGGACUCGCCCCAAAUCCAUUGGCAGCGUUCCUUGCCCCCUCUCGCGCAGCACAUUGCGCUUCUCGAGGGCGGCUCCGGGACGCGAUCCAGCAAGAUGACCACCGUCUUUGACCUCGGAUCAGGUAGGGAUACCCGCUGAACUUAAGCAUAUCAAUAAGCGGGGA
Molecule: unclassified non-coding RNA, 337 nt
Filed under: soil metagenome
Description: partial contains 5.8S ribosomal RNA, internal transcribed spacer 2, and large subunit ribosomal RNA
Rfam family: 5.8S ribosomal RNA (bases 1-120)
Source: RNAcentral